GCCUCGGUAGUGUAAUGGAUCAGCAUGACAGACCCGAUAUCUGCGCGGGUUCGAGUCCCGCCUGAGGUU
RNAcentral lists this transfer RNA (69 nucleotides) under Dictyocaulus viviparus (bovine lungworm). It matches the Rfam family "tRNA". From Rfam's summary of the family: Transfer RNA (tRNA) molecules are approximately 80 nucleotides in length. Their secondary structure includes four short double-helical elements and three loops (D, anti-codon, and T loops). Lineage: Eukaryota; Metazoa; Nematoda; Chromadorea; Rhabditida; Metastrongylidae. The record is from Rfam by way of RNAcentral.